This 253-nucleotide ribosomal RNA is filed under the name uncultured bacterium. RNAcentral's name for it is "partial 16S ribosomal RNA". It matches the Rfam family "Bacterial small subunit ribosomal RNA", at positions 524 to 776 of the family's 1533-position model. The record is from RNAcentral.
UACGUAGGGUGCGAGCGUUGCCCGGAUUUAUUGGGCGUAAAGAGCUCGUAGGCGGCCAGUUGCGUCUGCUGUGAAAUCCCGGGGCUCAACCCCGGGCGUGCAGUGGAUACGGGCUGGCUAGAGGCAGGCAGGGGAGAACGGAAUUCCCGGUGUAGCGGUGAAAUGCGCAGAUAUCGGGAGGAACACCGGUGGCGAAGGCGGUUCUCUGGGCCUGUACUGACGCUGAGGAGCGAAAGCGUGGGGAGCGAACAGG